UACAGGGGGUGCAAGCGUUGUCCGGAAUCAUUGGGCGUAAAGCGCGUGUAGGCGGCUCGGUAAGUCCGCUGUGAAAGUCGGGGGCUCAACCCUCGGAUGCCGGUGGAUACUGUCGGGCUAGAGUACGGAAGAGGCGAGUGGAAUUCCUGGUGUAGCGGUGAAAUGCGCAGAUAUCAGGAGGAACACCAAGUGCGAAGGCAGCUCGCUGGGACGUUACUGACGCUGAGACGCGAAAGCGUGGGGAGCAAACAGG
RNAcentral lists this ribosomal RNA (253 nucleotides) under uncultured bacterium. Its description in RNAcentral is "partial 16S ribosomal RNA". It matches the Rfam family "Bacterial small subunit ribosomal RNA", at positions 524 to 776 of the family's 1533-position model. The record is from RNAcentral.